This 254-nucleotide ribosomal RNA is filed under the name uncultured bacterium. RNAcentral's name for it is "partial 16S ribosomal RNA". It matches the Rfam family "Bacterial small subunit ribosomal RNA", at positions 524 to 776 of the family's 1533-position model. The record is from RNAcentral.
UACGUAGGGGGGCAAGCGUUGUCCGGAAUCAUUGGGCGUAAAGCGCGUGUAGGCGGUUCGGUAAGUCUGCUGUGAAAGUCCAGGGCUCAACCCUGGGAUGCCGGUGGAUACUGUCGGGCUAGAGUACGGAAGAGGCGAGUGGAAUUCCUGGUGUAGCGGUGAAAUGCGCAGAUAUCAGGAGGAACACCAAUGGCGAAGGCAGCUCGCUGGAACGGUACUGACGCUGAUGCACGAAAGCGUGGGGAUCAAACAGG